This 423-nucleotide long non-coding RNA is filed under the name Homo sapiens (human). RNAcentral's name for it is "non-protein coding LINC01412:1". The record is from RNAcentral. Lineage: Eukaryota; Metazoa; Chordata; Mammalia; Primates; Hominidae.
AAUUGCACUCAAAGGAGGGACAAGCCACCACAUGGGUUGCCACAUCCACACUCCCAGAGAAAGCUUCACAUGUGAGAUAAAUGCACUCAAAGAUUCCUCACAAGUAGCUCUUUGGAGCUUCAGAUGUGAAAUGGAUCAUUCCUCAAUCUGUAAUAGACCCUUCUGUGAAGCUCUUCAAUCAAACCAGAGAAUUCAAGAGUUUCCAACACCUAAGAGUGGUAUUUGGCAAAUGGUGGGCCAAAGGAAUAAAGAAGGCAUGCAAAACUCUUGACAGAAGACAUUCAGAAAUUGAUUUGAUAUCAGAUACAAGGAGAAAAUAUGCCAGUAAGAAAAUGCAUUUUUCAAGAUUAAAUUCGGCAUUUGUUACUUAAUAGCAUUUGUCAUAUUCCAAUUUUUCAUAUGUAGUAAAUUCAUUUCAAAUCA